Molecule: ribosomal RNA, 496 nt
Filed under: uncultured bacterium
Lineage: Bacteria
Description: partial 16S ribosomal RNA
Rfam family: Bacterial small subunit ribosomal RNA
Source: RNAcentral
GAUGAACGCUGGCGGCGUGCCUAAUACAUGCAAGUCGAGCGAACAGACGAGGAGCUUGCUCCUUUGACGUUUGCCGCGCACGUGUGUGUCACACGUGGAUCCCCUCCCUAUAAGACUGGGAUAUCUUCGGGAAACCGGCGCUAAUACCGGAUAAUAUAUUGAACCGCAUGGUUCAAUAGUGAAAGUCGGUUUUGCUGUCACUAAUAGCUGGUUCCGCGCCGCAUUGCUAGUUGGUAAGGUAACGGCUUACCAAGGCCACGAUGUGUAGCCGACCUGAGAGGGUGAUCGGCCACACUGGAACUGAGACGGGGUCCAGACUCCUACGGGAGGCAGCAGUAGGGAAUCUUCCGCAAUGGGCGAAAGCCUGACGGAGCAACGCCGCGUGAGUGAUGAAGGUCUUCGGAUCGUAAAACUCUGUUAUUAGGGAAGAACAAAUGUGGAAGUAACUAUGCACGUCUUGACGGUACCUAGUCAGAAAGCCACGGCUAACUACGUG